RNAcentral lists this ribosomal RNA (720 nucleotides) under Bacillus safensis. RNAcentral describes it as "bacterial SSU rRNA". It matches the Rfam family "Bacterial small subunit ribosomal RNA", at positions 37 to 741 of the family's 1533-position model. Lineage: Bacteria; Bacillati; Bacillota; Bacilli; Caryophanales; Bacillaceae. The record is from RNAcentral.
GAAUGGCGCCGCUACUACAUGCAGUCGAGCGGACAGAAGGGAGCUUGCUCCCGGAUGUUAGCGGCGGACGGGUGAGUAACACGUGGGUAACCUGCCUGUAAGACUGGGAUAACUCCGGGAAACCGGAGCUAAUACCGGAUAGUUCCUUGAACCGCAUGGUUCAAGGAUGAAAGACGGUUUCGGCUGUCACUUACAGAUGGACCCGCGGCGCAUUAGCUAGUUGGUGGGGUAAUGGCUCACCAAGGCGACGAUGCGUAGCCGACCUGAGAGGGUGAUCGGCCACACUGGGACUGAGACACGGCCCAGACUCCUACGGGAGGCAGCAGUAGGGAAUCUUCCGCAAUGGACGAAAGUCUGACGGAGCAACGCCGCGUGAGUGAUGAAGGUUUUCGGAUCGUAAAGCUCUGUUGUUAGGGAAGAACAAGUGCGAGAGUAACUGCUCGCACCUUGACGGUACCUAACCAGAAAGCCACGGCUAACUACGUGCCAGCAGCCGCGGUAAUACGUAGGUGGCAAGCGUUGUCCGGAAUUAUUGGGCGUAAAGGGCUCGCAGGCGGUUUCUUAAGUCUGAUGUGAAAGCCCCCGGCUCAACCGGGGAGGGUCAUUGGAAACUGGGAAACUUGAGUGCAGAAGAGGAGAGUGGAAUUCCACGUGUAGCGGUGAAAUGCGUAGAGAUGUGGAGGAACACCAGUGGCGAAGGCGACUCUCUGGUCUGUAACU